AAUAUGGGCUGAAGCUCAAUUCACAUGUCCAUCAACCUAAUAAAAAACCCUAGAGAAGGAAGACUUUGUGAUGCCGUCAAUGGCGCUUCCGGCGUCCACUAUAUUGUAUUCGACUCCGAAAUUUCAGAUUAAACUAUGUAAAUAUCAACUUUCUCAACUCCAAUGGGGUUCACUGUGCGGUGCCCAUCACCCAAUCUAUCCCAAAUUCCGCAGAAAAGUAAUUAUGGCACAAAUGGGUGAACCGAAUAAGAUGGGCCUGCAAUUGGGUAUUGUUAAGGAGAGGUUAUGGGAAACGGUUCCUGAGUCGGUGAAGGAUUUUCCAUGGAAGAAGGCUGAGGCUGUAGUUUUACAGAGAAUGGUUUUUCUUGGACACAAGGCAUUGAAGUGGUCACUCGUUGCAUUAUUCAUUUUUAGCUUUUUACCAGAUGCUGUAUUCUCCAUUUCCCGAAACCAAGAGUUAGUGAUACCCUUUGGUCUGGCCGUUGGCUGUUUGAUGUCUGACUUCUUGAGGGACACGUUACAGGAAGUGUUUGGCAGAUCAGAGGGAGUAGGUUUGCACCAGCAUCUUUUGAGCAUCGGUUGCUUCUUUGGUCUUGUCAAGUUUAUGUCCGCAUGUUUUUCACUACAAACGAGGGUAUUUCUUUUGCAUGUUGCAAACGGUGGUUUAAUGCAAGUUUUGUGGCAGUGGAGAAAUUUAGUGGAAAAAAUUGAUAGUGGCAAUGGACUGAAUUCCAUCUCAAAUCCAUUGGCCAGAAAUGCAGAAUAUUAAAUUCAGUUUUUCUGUUGUACAUCCACAUGUUUUAUCAAACUUCUGUGAUUCGUUCGGUUCAAGUGCAGCUUUACACAAGUCCUGACUUAACCGGAACUGGGAAUAGGCAGAUCGCAGCUGUUUGUAAAUCUCUUCCAUCCUCCCAUCCUGCUGAUCUCGUCGAUCCAUCUCCAUAAAAUCCUGUGAACGACUAAGUCAUCAAACUUGGCACACACAAAAAGAGAGAGAGCGAGAGUGAGAGAGAGAGAUAAGCAUUUCUAAUGGGUACCUGAGCGGCAAGCUUAUCAAAAGUUGGAGAAAAACGCUGGCUACAAUACGCAUUAAAUAGAAGAGUUCCAAUAAUCAGUGGAAUAAUGAAACCAGAAGCAACUGAUGACCGUUUAAUCCCAAAGACUCCGAGAGCUAUAAUUUGGGUCAACACCAGUGCGAAGAUUGUUGAUUUGUGAGCGAUAGGCCAAUACUGCCCCCCACUUUCAUAAUUUGUUAUGUAGACAUUCAUAAUCUGAAAGAUACGUUUUAAG
Molecule: RNA transcript, 1290 nt
Organism: Pistacia vera
Lineage: Eukaryota; Viridiplantae; Streptophyta; Magnoliopsida; Sapindales; Anacardiaceae
Exons: 4
Source: RefSeq, a predicted model, not a curated record